This is a long non-coding RNA of Notothenia coriiceps (black rockcod), 395 nucleotides long. RefSeq lists it as uncharacterized. The transcript is spliced from 2 exons. The record is from RefSeq and is a predicted model, not a curated record. Lineage: Eukaryota; Metazoa; Chordata; Actinopteri; Perciformes; Nototheniidae.
UGUGUGUGUGUGUGUGUGUGUGUGUGUGUGUGUGUGUGUGUGUGUGUGUGUGUGUGUGUGUGUGUCUGCUUGGAGGGGAAACAGCAGAGAAGAUGAAGAAGGGCUCAUGUAAGAAAGCAGUCAUGGUAGAUAUACAGACUUCCAGGCAUUCACGUCAAAGGUGAGGAACAAUAUGAGAACGGGAUCAUUUCGGCAGCGACUGCAAAGCUGCCUGUGAAAACCGGCUGCCAAAGAAAAGAAGAAAGCAAUAAAGAAAUAAAGGACACAAUGUAAAUGAUAGACAAAAGGCAAUAAUAGGAAAACACUUGGGGAACUUCUCCUGUCUGUGGACUGCCUGCGGGUUUCUUGUUGAUACGGCGGGGGCAGUUGUCAGAGGUGGAGAAGAAGAGAGAGAG